CCUACGGGUGGCAGCAGUGAGGAAUAUUGGUCAAUGGCCGAGAGGCUGAACCAGCCAAGUCGCGUGAGGGAAGACGGCCCUACGGGUUGUAAACCUCUUUUGUCGGGGAGCAAAGCGAGUCACGUGUGACUCAUUGAGAGUACCCGAAGAAAAAGCAUCGGCUAACUCCGUGCCAGCAGCCGCGGUAAUACGGAGGAUUCGAGCGUUAUCCGGAUUUAUUGGGUUUAAAGGGUGCGCAGGCGGAGGUGCAAGUCAGCGGUAAAAUUGCGGGGCUCAACCCCGUACUGCCGUUGAAACUGCAUCCCUUGAGUGCGGGAGAGGUAGGCGGAAUGUGUGGUGUAGCGGUGAAAUGCAUAGAUAUCACGCAGAACUCCGAUUGCGAAGGCAGCAUACCGGCGCGCAACUGACGCUCAUGCACGAAAGCGUGGGGAUCGAACAGGAUUAGAUACCCUUGUAGUC
RNAcentral lists this ribosomal RNA (459 nucleotides) under uncultured bacterium. RNAcentral describes it as "partial 16S ribosomal RNA". It matches the Rfam family "Bacterial small subunit ribosomal RNA", at positions 338 to 795 of the family's 1533-position model. The record is from RNAcentral.